This 425-nucleotide long non-coding RNA is filed under the name Pan troglodytes (chimpanzee). RNAcentral describes it as "long non-coding RNA NONPTRT009446". The record is from RNAcentral. Lineage: Eukaryota; Metazoa; Chordata; Mammalia; Primates; Hominidae.
ACCAGGAAGCACCAUUAACGUUAUAUUUAGUGAAAUUCUACACAAGGUUUAGUUGACCUAGGAUGGGUUUGGCUGGAAGUCUCUGCGUGGCCAGGCUCUGUACUUAGAGUAGAAAUCCAAACAACAGAAGUUAGAUGUGGACGUUGCAGCCAGUAGAUGUUGCUGUUGAACAAUGUGACAGAGAACCACCUGCCAGGAGUGGGAAUAACAGAUUGGCACUUUGAUUUUAAUAGAUAUGAGGAUAUUCAUAAAUCCUUCCUCCAGAAAUGUCAGCCUUAGAGAUUUAAGGGUGUGAUAGUAAGAUUAUGGAGAAAAAGUCCAGCAGCUGGAUGCAUGGAGCUGCUAUUGACUUAGACGGGGAUUCCAUGGCAGUGGUGUAGCAGGAUUUGAAGAAGAGAAGAAAGAGCAAAAGUUUAGGUUUUUUC